GAUAGUAGGUCUAUCAGUGACGACUUUCAGGAGUAGUUACUACUUGAGCGAAGCGGAUGCACGGAUACUUAAAAACAAUAAAAAAUAAUCCGUAAACCACUUUGUGCUGCAUUAUUAGGAAACUAUGGUGUGGUGAGCGACAAAGAAAAACGGCAACAAGAUUGCUGUAGGU
Molecule: non-coding RNA, 172 nt
Organism: Flavobacterium branchiophilum FL-15
Lineage: Bacteria; Pseudomonadati; Bacteroidota; Flavobacteriia; Flavobacteriales; Flavobacteriaceae
Source: Rfam